Molecule: transfer RNA, 64 nt
Filed under: Chapuisia ellenbergeri
Lineage: Eukaryota; Metazoa; Arthropoda; Insecta; Coleoptera; Chrysomelidae
Description: tRNA-Ile
Source: RNAcentral
AAUGAAGUGCCUGACAAAAAGGGUAAUUUUGAUAGAAUUAAUAAUGUGAAAUUCACCUUCAUUA